This 468-nucleotide ribosomal RNA is filed under the name uncultured bacterium. RNAcentral's name for it is "bacterial SSU rRNA". It matches the Rfam family "Bacterial small subunit ribosomal RNA", at positions 32 to 518 of the family's 1533-position model. The record is from RNAcentral.
AACGCUGGCGGCGUGCUUCAUACAUGCAAGUCGAACGAGAAGCUCACUUCGGUGAGUGGAAAGUGGCGACGGGUGAGUAAUAUGUAGAGAAUCUGCCCUUUAGUGGGGGACAACAGUUGGAAACGACUGCUAAUACCCCAUAUGAGCGUAUCUGAAAUGAUAUUCUUGAAAACUCCGGUGCUAAAGGAUGAGUCUGCAUCUGAUUAGCUAGUUGGUGGUGUAAUGGACUACCAAGGCGACGAUCAGUAGCUGGUUUGAGAGGAUGAUCAGCCACAAUGGGACUGAGACACGGCCCAUACUCCUACGGGAGGCAGCAGUAGGGAAUUUUGCGCAAUGGGGGGAAAAACCCCUGACGCAGCAACGCCGCGUGAACGAGACGCCCUUCGGGGUGUAAAGUUUUGUCAGUGGGGACGAACAGAUGACGGUACCCACAGAGGAAGCACCGGCUAACUCCGUGCCAGCCGCCGC